CGGUCAGGGCGCCGGGGCGGGCUCGGCGUCCGGCUCCGGCUCGGACUCGGGUUCCGGCUCGGGUUCCGGCUCCGACCAGUCCGGC
Molecule: transfer RNA, 85 nt
Filed under: Streptomyces flavofungini
Lineage: Bacteria; Bacillati; Actinomycetota; Actinomycetes; Kitasatosporales; Streptomycetaceae
Description: tRNA-Arg
Source: RNAcentral